CGGGGAUUAGUGGCGAACGGGUGAGUAACACGUGGGCAAUCUGCCCUGCACUCUGGGAUAAGCCCGGGAAACUGGGUCUAAUACCGGAUACGACACAUGAGGGCAUCCUCGUGUGUGGAAAGUUCCGGCGGUGCAGGAUGAGCCCGCGGCCUAUCAGCUUGUUGGUGGGGUAGUGGCCUACCAAGGCGACGACGGGUAGCCGGCCUGAGAGGGUGACCGGCCACACUGGGACUGAGACACGGCCCAGACUCCUACGGGAGGCAGCAGUGGGGAAUAUUGCACAAUGGGCGAAAGCCUGAUGCAGCGACGCCGCGUGAGGGAUGACGGCCUUCGGGUGUAAACCUCUUUCAGCAGGGAAGAAGCGAAAGUGACGGUACCUGCAGAAGAAGCACCGGCUAACUACGUGCCAGCAGCCGCGGUAAUACGUAGGGUGCAAGCGUUGUCCGGAAUUAUUGGGCGUAAAGAGCUCGUAGGCGGCCUGUCGCGUCGAUUGUGAAAGCCCAGGGCUUAACCCUGGGUCUGCAGUCGAUACGGGCAGGCUAGAGUUCGGUAGGGGAGAUCGGAAUUCCUGGUGUAGCGGUGAAAUGCGCAGAUAUCAGGAGGAACACCGGUGGCGAAGGCGGAUCUCUGGGCCGAUACUGACGCUGAGGAGCGAAAGCGUGGGGAGCGAACAGGAUUAGAUACCCUGGUAGUCCACGCCGUAAACGGUGGGCACUAGGUGUGGGCAACAUUCCACGUUGUCCGUGCCGCAGCUAACGCAUUAAGUGCCCCGCCUGGGGAGUACGGCCGCAAGGCUAAAACUCAA
Molecule: ribosomal RNA, 805 nt
Filed under: Musa acuminata (dwarf banana)
Lineage: Eukaryota; Viridiplantae; Streptophyta; Magnoliopsida; Zingiberales; Musaceae
Description: bacterial SSU rRNA
Rfam family: Bacterial small subunit ribosomal RNA
Source: RNAcentral